GAAGAAAACUGUCAUGUUGCCUUUUAAAUAUGGUAAUCUCUUCUCCAGGCUAAACAGCUCCAGCUCUUCACAUCCUUGUUCUCUAUCCCCAAACCAUCUGUGUUGUCAUCCUCUAAAUAUAUUCCAGUUUGCGGAUCAUCUCUAUGCAUUUGCAAUCAUUGGCUGGAAAUAUGAAAGGUGGCUAAAUUUGCUUUCAAGGAACAGCUGUAUAGAACACUUAUUUCCCUCCUGUCUUCAUAAGGCUAUGGCCUGGGCCAUAUUGGGAAUUAACACUGCAAACUGAUUCUGCAUGAAGUUCAGUCACCAGGGAUAGUUUUGUGAUGUUCCACCAAAAGUGCUUAACUGCCCUUUCAUUUCCCUCAAAGAUUGUUCUUUCAAGGGUGUGGGCCAGUACAUUUUUGGCUAACAAAUUGUCACUAACUCUCCUAUUUUUAGAACUUGCUUUUGCAUCCAAAAUCUUUGCCCCUUAAUUUACCAACCUCUUUCCCAUCAGUUCAUUACUAAAGAAAAUGGUUCUUUUAAGAAAUUCUUACAAGUGGUGCUAAUACUUAAAAAUAAGAUCUCAAAUUAAUCACAUCACUAAAUAGUUUAUUAAUGAUGCAAAGCCACAUGGGCUAUUAAAGCUAAGAGGUUUGUCAUUAGCUGAUGUAACUACAGUUUGUGCAGACUGUUUUUAUAUUUAAUGAUUCCUUUAACUAUUUAAGGCAAUGAUAUGACUAGCCAUUGAAGGUGGAACGUUUGCUAUAUAUAGGCACCAGGUCUGGUAAUCAUGAAGAGUGCUAUAGGGUAAACUCCUGUAGCUAAUAAUUAAAAGUUACUUAGAAUGGGCAAAUACUCCAGUAUAAUAAUCAUAAAUCCCAUUAUUAUCUGCAUCUACUACCAUUUUGCAAUGGGCUAUACAAAAAUAAUUUUCAAAGCUGUUUUUGGAGACAUAUUUUCCAAAAGCUAGCUAUGUUACACUGGGGAGAACACAGGAGCCCUAUCACAGAGAAGAAGCAAGAAAAAACUAUUGGACUGUGAGGUAAGCUAUUACUCAUCAGAUGCCUUUUUAGUUGUUGUUCCUGGAUAAAUUAGAAUCGGUUUUAUACAUGUGGAGUUUCCAGAAAUUCGGAAGUAUUAUCCAGAACUGAGUUUGACCCAACCUUUCCUGGUUAUUUUUGCUAAAGUAUAAAAUAGGAUUUAUUUCUGGGUGUCAAGUGUAUAUAAAGAAAUAAAACACGCUUCUAAGGAACUAGAAAACAGUAUUAUCUCCACAAGGGAACUUUUCCAUUUAUAAUACGCCACUAGAUGAUUUUGGAGUGUGUCAGCAACUGAGCUGCAAAACUGAGCAUAGCUUUGUCAUUGAACAAGGGAAAGCCAUUAAUAUGGCGGCUGCUCUGUGUCUUUUCGUAAGAAAUGAGCCACCUAUUGGGGCCUUUAAUAGAUUUCGGGGUUUUCCCCCAUCUCACACUUUCUUGGUUGUCCUUUGUUUUUAAUUCUCUAGGACAUAGUGUGUUUACUUUAAUGAGAUGCAGGGCCUGUGAUCCAGCAGGAAGAGUGCUUAAUCUUAAACUCGACAAUGUUCUAAUGGGUAAAGGAAUGCAGAGAAGCAUGACAGAUCGUUUCAUACAAUUGCUGCAGCCGCCUGAUUCAGAUCCUUUAAAAAGAGAGGGUUAUCCUUAUUCCCAGACGAUGUCAAAGUGGUAUGAUUAUAUAAGAAAGCUUACUGAUGGAGAAGUUGGACUGCAUGGUGGGGGGGGGCAUACUGAAGAAUGCAAGGCUACCUGGGCAAUGCUAAAAUGUGGGGAGGGGGGCAAUCCCACAGCUGAAGAACUUCCUAAUCGUUGCUGCCUCACUCUGGCUAGCAUGGAAGGUGGUGGAAUUUUCUUGUUUGCUCUGUCCACCACCCUGUUGCUAAUGUUCCCUUUGAUAUUAACAUAAUGGAUAGAAAAUCACUACACUCUUUCCAGGACUGGUGUAGGAUUCUGCCCCCCUUUUCAGAAUUGUGUCAUGGGAACAAGGGUUUGGGAUCCUGCAGAUCGAAGGUGUUUGCCACAUCCACCCUUUCUUAACACUGUGAAAAACUGCUGAUGGUACAGUUAUACCUGCUGAGCUUUCUGGGGCCUCCUUAAGAGCGCAAGUGCUGCCUCCACCCGCAGAGUAAUACUUUCACCAUCUCACAAUACGUAUUCCUUAGGCAGACUUUGACCUGCUUUAGAAGUGCAGCCUCUAGUAUCAUUCAUAAACAAGGUACGCUUGAAAUACAUAGGGCCUACAGAUGCUACCAAAUGAGAAAAUUGGGAUCAAGUGUGAGAAGUCAUGUCAUCUCGGCCUACUUUCCUUGCUACAGGAGGAAUCGAGCAAAACAGGGAAGCAGAAAAGGAAGUUGAUAAACUCCCAUGGGCCUGUCAGUGUCUUGGACUAGGUCAAAGCCCAGCAAAAGCAAUAGUCACCAAACAUUGUCCUUCGCUCACAUGUGAGUACUGCAAGGCUGCCUCUGCAAAUAGGCAGAGUGAUCAGCUGCUUCAGGCAGCAAACCCUACUUUGUGCGUGCUGCUGCUUCCUGCCAUUCUUCCUGAGCACCCUAGUUUGCAUUGCACCACUUGAGCUGACAUGCUGAUGUCACAGAAUCAUAGAAAUGUAGAGUUGGAAGGGACCACAAGGGUCUAGUCCAACCCCUUGCAAUGCAGGAAUAUUUUUAGCCAACCUGGUGCUCAAACUCACAGCCCUGAGAUUAAGAGUCUCAUGCGCUACCAAUUGAGCUAUUGUCUUCUGUCAGUUUUGAAGCAAGAGGCAAUUUCUACCCCAGUCUGCUUCUGUAUGUGAAAUAGAAGACAAAUCAACUUGCCCUUCAUCUUGGGCAACAAAGGGUUGUAUCCAAUGUAGUGCUAAGCUGAAAUCACUUAGCAAUAUACUUUUUCUGAUAGCAAAACAUUUUGCGCCAUCAGGACAUUGUUGCACAAGAGAAUGCAUAGGCAAGUAGCUGCUAACUAUGUUGCACAAUAGAUUGUGCAAUCUGUUACACAAUUCAUUUCUGCUAGCAGAAUUGUUGUGUUGGAUUCCUUGGUUGUGCAACAUUAAAGAACCUUUGCACUAGCAGAGAACAUUGGAUGCAGCCCAAAAUGUCCUCAGCUGGUCCUAGGGAAAAUAGCAAUAAAUUAAGUUCCAGAUUUGGGGACUUUAUUCAAGAUAAUCUGCACCAUGGGUUGGAAAACCUAAUGGCAUUCUGCCAUGCUAAGAUAAACUUGCCUAAGCAGCUGGGAAAAGUGAAGGCGAUGCUGUUAAGGUUUUUACUAAACACUUCCAACCAUCUCAGAUAGAUGCUGGUAACAGUGGCAGCACAUGAAAUGAUCCAUUAGAGCAACUAAAUGCAAGUACCAUAGAAUGAGCUCAGUGCUGCUUUUGACUUUCCACUGCUGCUGUUCCUACUGCUGUUGGCAGUGGGUAACCAAAGCAAAACACACACAAAAAAACCAAGCCACUUAAUGGGGCCCAUACAAAUUAAAGAGGAAUAAAAAUUACUCAACAAGUUAAUUUGAUUUUCCACUUGGGUACGACUCAAACUCCCAUGGAAAUGUGUAUAAUGUAGUGGAAUAAAGCUCUAGAGAACAAAAUGGGGUUGGUGCACCCAGAUAGUUGUCCAAUAUAUCCAAAAAUGGUUUCCAUUGUGUUUUAUAGUAGCGUCACCAAUAUUCAGACACUGACAUUUGUUUUAAGAUGCUUUACACUGAUCAUUUUUAUGUGGUUGGUGCAACUCGGCAUUAAGGAUACUGUUCUGUCAGCACAAGCAUUUCUGCAUGUCUGGUGGAAUGAUCUCCACUAUUCUCUCAUCCCUCCAGAGCAGAUUUGAGAAGGGGCAGGAGAUGUGAAAGGAGGAAGUCCCAUUGCACUGAUUUCCUCUAGCUCAACUAUCUAGAAGAAAUUGGCCAAUUAUUGAAAUAUACAUUUGUUAAAAAACCAGAAGCUUUUCUACUAGGUAUUGUAGGUACGGACAUUAAUAGACAAGAUAAAAAGUUAUUUUUAUAACAGCUGCGAGAAUAUUAUUGGCACAGAAAUGGAAACAAGAAGAAUUGCUGACAAAGGAGGACUGGCAGAUAAAACUGAUGGACUACGCAGAAUUGGAUAAGGUGACAGGAAGGAUUCGUAACCAGCGGGACCAGAACUUCUUGAAAGAGAAAAUAUGCGAAAUAUUUGAAAGACAAUUGUAGUAAUUUGACUACACUUGUAGGACUACAAGAAGUUGUGUAAGGAGAAUAAUAUGAAGUAUUACAAAAGAGGAUUUAGGAAAUAGCUUUUAUUGAAGAUUUGAACUGUUAAAGUAAUAUGGACAAUAAUAAAAUGCAGAAUUAAGACGUAAAGUUUGAAAAUCAUUGGUUGUGGUUGAUGGAAGUAGUAGGCUAAAACAUAGCCAAAUGGACAUAUAAAUUGAGAAGACAUGUUGUGUUUUUAUCUUUUGUUUGUUAAUGU
Non-coding RNA from Podarcis lilfordi (Lilford's wall lizard), 4446 nucleotides. NCBI's taxonomy places the organism in Eukaryota, Metazoa, Chordata, Lepidosauria, Squamata, Lacertidae. The record is from the annotation of a GenBank genome assembly.